Molecule: ribosomal RNA, 253 nt
Filed under: uncultured bacterium
Lineage: Bacteria
Description: partial 16S ribosomal RNA
Rfam family: Bacterial small subunit ribosomal RNA
Source: RNAcentral
UACGUAGGUGGCAAGCGUUGUCCGGAUUUAUUGGGCGUAAAGCGCGCGCAGGCGGUCCUUUAAGUCUGAUGUGAAAGUCCACGGCUCAACCGUGGAGGGUCAUUGGAAACUGGAGGACUUGAGUGCAGAAGAGGAAAGUGGAAUUCCAAGUGUAGCGGUGAAAUGCGUAGAGAUUUGGAGGAACACCAGUGGCGAAGGCGACUUUCUGGUCUGUAACUGACGCUGAGGCGCGAAAGCGUGGGGAGCAAACAGG